RNAcentral lists this ribosomal RNA (493 nucleotides) under uncultured bacterium. Its description in RNAcentral is "partial 16S ribosomal RNA". It matches the Rfam family "Bacterial small subunit ribosomal RNA", at positions 29 to 507 of the family's 1533-position model. The record is from RNAcentral.
AGUGAACGCUGGCGGUAGGCCUAACACAUGCAAGUCGAACGGCAGCACAGUAAGAGCUUGCUCUUACGGGUGGCGAGUGGCGGACGGGUGAGGAAUACAUCGGAAUCUACUUUUUCGUGGGGGAUAACGUAGGGAAACUUACGCUAAUACCGCAUACGACCUACGGGUGAAAGCAGGGGAUCUUCGGACCUUGCGCGAUUGAAUGAGCCGAUGUCGGAUUAGCUAGUUGGCGGGGUAAAGGCCCACCAAGGCGACGAUCCGUAGCUGGUCUGAGAGGAUGAGCAGCCACACUGGGAACGGAGCGCGGCCCAAGCCCCGGCGGGGGGGAGCCAGGGGGGAAUUUUGGAGAAGGGGCGCAGGCUUUCCCAACCAUUCCGGGGGGGGGAAAAAGGGCUUUGGGUUUUAAAACCCUUUUUUUGGGAAAAAAAAAGCAACAGUUAAACCCCCCCUUUUUCUGGGGGCCCCAAAAAAAAAAGCACCGGCUACUUUCGUC